This 481-nucleotide ribosomal RNA is filed under the name uncultured bacterium. Its description in RNAcentral is "partial 16S ribosomal RNA". It matches the Rfam family "Bacterial small subunit ribosomal RNA", at positions 28 to 507 of the family's 1533-position model. The record is from RNAcentral.
GACGAACGCUGGCGGCGUGCUUAACACAUGCGAGUCGAACGCUGAAGCUCAGCUUGCUGGGUGGUUGAGUGGCGAACGGGUGAGUAACACGUGAGUAACCUGCCCCCUUCUUUGGGAUAACGCCCGGAAACGGGUGCUAAUACUGGAUAUUCACUGCUCUUCGCAUGGGGGUUGGUGGAAAGGUUUUUUCUGGUGGGGGAUGGGCUCGCGGCCUAUCAGCUUGUUGGUGGGGUGAUGGCCUACCAAGGCUUUGACGGGUAGCCGGCCUGAGAGGGUGACCGGUCACAUUGGGACUGAGAUACGGCCCAGACUCCUACGGGGGGCAGCAGUGGGGAAUAUUGCACAAUGGGCGAAAGCCUGAUGCAGCGACGCCGCGUGAGGGAUGGGGGCCUUCGGGUUGUAAACCUCUUUCGCUAAUGGUCAAGCCGCAACAUUGGUUGUGGUGAGGGUAGUGGGUAAAGAAGCGCCGGCUAACUACGUG